GUUAUUCUUUUGAAUACAUGAGCCUCUAACAUAGUCAUUUUGGUCUUGGUGAUAUCUUGUUCAGCAUAGAAGUUAUGUUCAAGUAGGACCCUGAAGGCUCAUUUGCUAGACGGUUAUUAGGAGUCUAUGACGGUGAUGGUAAUAUUUUUAGUUUAAUUUUGGUUAAAAAUAUCCCAUAUGAAAUUACAUCCUCAAACUUGUGUUUUUCCUUGCAUUACCACUCGGUACCACCUCCUAAAGUGGUAAUUGAUGGUGAUGUUAUGACCAAAAAAAGGAUUUUUUUGGGGUGGGCAGGCAUUAUCUUGGAUAGACAUGAGAAUUUUCUUAUAAAGUUACCAUAAAAGUCACUACUAUUACCGUGGUACUGCCAUUUAUUACUACUUACCAAAUGCAACAUGAUAGUUCUAUCAAGUUCUAUUUUCGUAGACUUCUGAGAUAUCUUUCUCUAUUAACAUUAUUAUGAAUUGUGAUGUUGAGUGACUGAAGGAUGUUAAUCUGGGUUAGACAUUUCUUUUUGGUCAGACAUUUGUUUUUAGAGAUUUCAUCCACCCAUUAAAAAGUGAGAAGUUAUCUUACUGUAGGGUAGUAACAGUGAGAGGACUAUUUUGCCCCUCCACUUUGUUAGAAUUGCUAUGCUGCCUUUUUUUUUUUCCCGUGUUCUGUGCAUCGCUCUUCUCUCUGACUGUCUCUCAUCUCUCUCCUCUCUCCUCUCUCCUCUCUCCUCUCUCCUCUCUCCUCUCUCGCUCUUCUUCUUCAUUCUCCUCUUUCCAGUUUCCAGUUCAUCCUCUUUCAUUCUUCUUCUUCUUUUUUUACCUUUUUUUUUUUCUCUCUCUCUCAUUGUUAGAAUUGCUGUCGAUUAUUGGCUUUAUAUUUCAAGGUCAUAGAAUCUCUUCUCCCGUGGUGUGAGGACUAAGGAUAAAGUAUUACCAUGAAGCCAGAAAGAGAGGAGCAAACUAGAAGCAAGCAACGACAUGAUGAAGAAAGAAAAAGAGAUAUAUGAGAGAAAGGUUUGUUCAACUUCUUUUAAUUAUCACUUAAUUAGAAAUAUUGUUUUAAUUAAUACUGUUAAACCAUUGUAUUAGAUGGAAACUUAGCUUGACUUUUGGAGUUCCAGUUUGUUUUCGAGAUUUUAAUCCUUUUACAAUCCAGGAUUCUAGGUUAUCUAAAUCCAAAUGGCAAUCCGUUAAUAGGUGUGCUUUGAAAAAUAUCUUGAAUUUACUGUAGAUGGAGGAUUUAUGAUCUUUAUACCCUCAUAGAGAACUUUAGCUCGAAGAUCAUGGUGUCUUCGCUCAAAAGUUUUUGAAAAGUUCGUAGUCUAAGCUUUGGCAAAUGAGAAUAUUUAGGAGGUACGCUUCUUAGCUUUGUGAAUUGUGGGGCAACUUGCAUAAUCUAAAACAUAAAGAAACAACUGAGGAUGUUGGAGCAAGUUUGAGAGCUUCAAAAUACAUAAUAUUCGAGUGACUUGACACACUCCUAAAGCUAGUUCUAAUACAACUUUCUUCCUUCUAAUGCAAGUUGCAAGUAUUAGAUCUUCUUCAUUAGAAGUAGUUUGUUGGCUUUGUGACUAUAUUAGUGUUGACGUCAUUUUGAAAAUGUGAGAAGCGAAUGUCUUGCAUGUGUGACAUUGACAAAUCUGAUAAUUGUUAGAGUUGUUUUCUUUUCCCUCUUUGGUUGGAGCUCUGAAUAAUGGAUAAAGCCUAAUAGCUAGGUUAGAAAAAAGUUCAGAUUUUAAGGAAGGAAUGACAACUUUUGCUUUGAGUGCUAGGAUCAUUAUUGGAUUACUUUUGUUUACUAUUAUACUAUUAGUUAGGGCUACAUGUUGUCCUUUGUUUGCUUCAAUUUGAAUUAGUUGACAGAUACAAGCUGCCAUCAACUGUUAGACAUGUAUGAACAAUGAUUCCUAUGUAUGAGCAAUGGUUUCUAUUGUGUUUCAACAUUCACUAAUGAAAGAUACAAAAAGAUGGCGACCAGUUGGAGCAUAUAUUCGCUAUCAAGCCUAUGAAGUCAAUCGGCCUUUCAACUGAUACUAAAUUUGUGCUUGCACUUCGUGUUUUGGAAGGAUGCUACCUGAUUUAUUGGCAAAGUGCGAUUCUGACUCACCAGCAUUAUUAGUAAUGAUGCUCUAUUUAUCUUUGUAAAAGUAUGCUUUCCCUUGGUUUCUAAGUUGACUAUGUAAAGCUCUUUUUUUUUUUGUUACAUUUUACCUCCGACCCAUCACCUGGAGGCAAGGAAUGGAAGAAUACUAUGUACGUUAGAAAAGAUAUAGAAAGAAGUGUACUUGUUAAAGUA
This is a long non-coding RNA of Beta vulgaris subsp. vulgaris (sugar beet), 2289 nucleotides long. RefSeq lists it as uncharacterized. Lineage: Eukaryota; Viridiplantae; Streptophyta; Magnoliopsida; Caryophyllales; Amaranthaceae. The record is from RefSeq and is a predicted model, not a curated record. The transcript is spliced from 2 exons.